UUGCAGGCUGCAACUCGCCUGCAUGAAGUUGGAAUUGCUAGUAAUCGCGAAUCAGAAUGUCGCGGUGAAUACGUUCCCGGGCCUUGUACACACCGCCCGUCCACACCAUGAGAGUCGAUAACACCCGAAGCCUGUGAGCUAACCGUAAGGAGGCAGCAGUCGAAGGUGGGGUUGAUGAUUGGGGUGAAGUCGUAACAAGGUAAC
This 204-nucleotide ribosomal RNA is filed under the name uncultured bacterium. RNAcentral's name for it is "partial 16S ribosomal RNA". It matches the Rfam family "Bacterial small subunit ribosomal RNA", at positions 1298 to 1500 of the family's 1533-position model. The record is from RNAcentral.